Molecule: ribosomal RNA, 253 nt
Filed under: uncultured bacterium
Lineage: Bacteria
Description: partial 16S ribosomal RNA
Rfam family: Bacterial small subunit ribosomal RNA
Source: RNAcentral
UACGUAGGCAGCAAGCGUUGUUCGGAGUUACUGGGCGUAAAGGGUGCGUAGGCGGCUUCUUAAGUCUGGUGUGAAAUCUCCCGGCUCAACUGGGAGGGUGCGCCGGAUACUGAGGGGCUAGAGUGUGGGAGAGGAAAGUGGAAUUCCUGGUGUAGCGGUGAAAUGCGUAGAUAUCAGGAGGAACACCGGUGGUGUAGACGGCUUACUAGACCAUGACUGACGCUGAGGCACGAAAGCGUGGGUAGCAAACAGG